AUUGAACGCUGGCGGCAGGCUUAAUACAUGCAAGUCGAGCGAGCGGCGGACGGGUGAGUAAUGUCUGGGAAACUGCCUGAUGGAGGGGGAUAACUACUGGAAACGGUAGCUAAUACUGCAUACGAUCAGAUGUGCCCAGAUGGGAUUAGCUAGUAGGUGGGGUAAUGGCUCACCUAGGCGACGAUCCAUAGCUGGUCUGAGAGGAUGACCAGCCACACUGGAACUGAGACACGGGCCAGACUCCUACGGGAGGCAGCAGUGGGGAAUCUUGGCCAAUGGGCGCAAGCCUGAUGCAGCCAUGCCGCGUGUGUGAAGAAGGUCUUCGGGUUGUAAAGCACUUUCGGCGAGGAGGCGUUACUCGCAGAAGAAGCACCGGCUAACUCCGUGCCAGCAGCCGCGGUAAUUC
RNAcentral lists this ribosomal RNA (406 nucleotides) under uncultured bacterium. RNAcentral's name for it is "partial 16S ribosomal RNA". It matches the Rfam family "Bacterial small subunit ribosomal RNA", at positions 30 to 526 of the family's 1533-position model. The record is from RNAcentral.